CCAAGGAUCCUGCUUGUGCUCUUCACUUUUUUUUUGAGAUGGGGCGAGGGGGAUGGCUCCAUCUCCCUCACCCUGGAGGUGACGGACAUCACCCCUGGGGGCAAGCUUGGAGCGUGAGGCCUCGGGCAGAGGUGAAGCUCAGAGAUAAGCCACCAUCCAUCCAUCCCUCUCUCCUUGUGGCCUCCUGGCGACACCGGUUCCUGGGAGGACGGGGAACAAGGAACUACCCCAGCCCCAGCUCCGCUCGGCCCUGCCAAAGCAAGCAGGCGCCUGGCUGUGAGCUUCCUCCUUCCUGCCUCCGGGGACCGGGUGGCUCAAGUCCCUGCAGGCCUGGCCAAGCCCAAACCAGAGCGAAGCCCCUGCUGCCCUGAGGAGCCAGGGUGACUCGCUGCCUGCUGGGCUCAGAUACCAUCAGGACGUUGCUCCACGCUUUCUCCUCCCAGCCUGGGCUGACAGCAAAUUCUGCAGGUUUUGGGGGGGGGGUAAGCAGGGUCUGCUACCCCUGCUCACUGCCUGUCUCCCCCCCUCCCUGCCCCAUGCAAACACACCUCCAUGAAAACCAUCGCUCAGGGACUCCGUCACCCAUCAUGGCUCUGCUGUAGAUGGGGCAUGGCCAGGCAUCCAUUUCCUUGGGGCUCAGGGGACGGGAGAUGAUCUUCAGCUUGUGUCACGUUGCUGGGGGCUCCACUUAACUUCAGCAGCACAAAGUUAUACCAGCAGAUGAGCUGGCCCUUCACUUCCCUGCCAGAACAGGAUGAAGUAGAUGUCCUGCCCAAUGAGGCAUGCAAAUAUCCCAAUUCAGGGCUUGAAAUUCAAGGUGUGAUGAAGAGCCCGGAAAGCAUAACCUGCCUUGCAGGAGUUUUGUAAUCCCUUGUCACAACGUUUGCCUAAUACCAUUUACCUUUAACUGCUGAGACAAGCUAGAAAACUCUGAAUGCAAGGAACCGAGGCCAUGCUCAGCUGGCCCUUGCUGGGAAACUGGUAUAAGCCUGAUCACACCAUGUGGCAUCCCCAGCAGAAGCUGAAGUAAAGCAGAACUCCACCGCUUCACUACACAAGUCCCUGCCCAAGAGAAGUUUCCAACCUGUGAAGUAGAGGAGAAGCAGCUGAAACCUCAAGGAAAAACAGCAGCAGCCCAGCCGCUAGAGCAUUACAAACAAUAAUGAGAAGCUGUAGCUGACUGAAGAGAAGGCAAGAUGAUCAGCCAAGAAUACAGUUUUGUCCCCUAGCCAGCACUGGGGUAGAUAACUGAAGGGAAAAAGAAACAAAGGUAGUUUUUAGGAAGGCAAACUUGCUUCCUCCCCUCCUCCCCCCCCAAAGCAGCUCCUCCACUGAGCCUAUUAUUAAAUGGGAAAAGCAGGGAGGACAAUCUGCUACAGAAACCAUGAUGAUGGGACUACUUCAGAAGCUUGACAGAUGUCCCUGAGGUGAUGAAGAGACUGCAGCAGAAGCUGACUACCAACAGCUGCUGCUCACCUCUCCACCUGCCACAAUCAAACUAGGCACCAUGCAUUCUCUGGAAAAUAUCAAAAGAUGUGCUGAAAUUUUCAUGCCCAUUCUGAUGUGGCAAGGCACUGGUUAGACUUACUUUAACUUAGUCUUCAGAAAAAAAAAAAAAUCUAAGCACACACAGAGUACUGCACAAAGAUGAUACAAAACAACAUGAUACCAGUGCAAGUUCCAUGAAACUUUUUAUUCAACAAGUAUUUCGUUAUGAUUCUGCCAAGAUGAUCAAAUGAACAGCAAGGCAUAAAAAACAUGAAAUAGUUAAGAGAUUUUAUUCUAAUAGCUUUAAUUACAGUGCUUGUUUGUCGAAAUGAAAACCGAAAACAAGUAUACAAAACAGUUGAUUACUAAUUGUGUAUUGAAAGCAAUAAAGGUUU
Struthio camelus australis is the source of this 1883-nucleotide non-coding RNA. The record is from RefSeq and is a predicted model, not a curated record. Lineage: Eukaryota; Metazoa; Chordata; Aves; Struthioniformes; Struthionidae.